UGAGGAAUAUUGGUCAAUGGACGCAAGUCUGAACCAGCCAUGCCGCGUGCAGGAUGACGGCUCUAUGAGUUGUAAACUGCUUUUGUACGAGGGUAAACCCGGAUACGUGUAUCCGGCUGAAAGUAUCGUACGAAUAAGGAUCGGCUAACUCCGUGCCAGCAGCCGCGGUAAUACGGAGGAUUCAAGCGUUAUCCGGAUUUAUUGGGUUUAAAGGGUGCGUAGGCGGUUUGAUAAGUUAGAGGUGAAAUACCGGUGCUUAACACCGGAACUGCCUCUAAUACUGUUGAGCUAGAGAGUAGUUGCGGUAGGCGGAAUGUAUGGUGUAGCGGUGAAAUGCUUAGAGAUCAUACAGAACACCGA
RNAcentral lists this ribosomal RNA (360 nucleotides) under uncultured Alistipes sp. Its description in RNAcentral is "bacterial SSU rRNA". It matches the Rfam family "Bacterial small subunit ribosomal RNA", at positions 355 to 712 of the family's 1533-position model. Lineage: Bacteria; Pseudomonadati; Bacteroidota; Bacteroidia; Bacteroidales; Rikenellaceae. The record is from RNAcentral.